RNAcentral lists this ribosomal RNA (325 nucleotides) under Pycnococcus provasolii. RNAcentral describes it as "partial Bacterial large subunit ribosomal RNA". It matches the Rfam family "Bacterial large subunit ribosomal RNA", at positions 1130 to 1454 of the family's 2925-position model. Lineage: Eukaryota; Viridiplantae; Chlorophyta; Pseudoscourfieldiophyceae; Pseudoscourfieldiales; Pycnococcaceae. The record is from RNAcentral.
AAGCGUAACAGCUCACUGGUCUAGGAUUCUUGCGCCGAAAAUGUAUCGGGGCUCAAGCCAUGCACCGAAGCUUAGGGUUUGCAACUUGUUGCAAGCGGUAGCGGAGCGUUCCGUAAGCCUGUGAAGCGAUCUGGUAAUGGGUCGUGGAGGUAUCGGAAGUGCGAAUGCAGACAUGAGUAGCGAUAAAGAGGGUGAGAUGCCCUCUCGCCGAAAGACCAAGGGUUCCUGCGCAAGGCUAAUCCGCGCAGGGUGAGCCGGCCCCUAAGACGAGCCCGAAGGGGGUAGUCGAUGGGAACCACGUUAAUAUUCGUGGGCCUGGUGGUGU